This 427-nucleotide ribosomal RNA is filed under the name uncultured bacterium. RNAcentral describes it as "partial 16S ribosomal RNA". It matches the Rfam family "Bacterial small subunit ribosomal RNA", at positions 355 to 774 of the family's 1533-position model. The record is from RNAcentral.
UGGGGAAUAUUGCACAAUGGGCGCAAGCCUGAUGCAGCCAUGCCGCGUGUAUGAAGAAGGCCUUCGGGUUGUAAAGUACUUUCAGCGGGGAGGAAGGGAGUAAAGUUAAUACCUUUGCUCAUUGACGUUACCCGCAGAAGAAGCACCGGCUAACUCCGUGCCAGCAGCCGCGGUAAUACGGAGGGUGCAAGCGUUAAUUGGAAUUACUGGGCGUAAAGCGCACGCAGGCGGUUUGUUAAGUCAGAUGUGAAAUCCCCGGGCUCAACCUGGGAACUGCAUCUGAUACUGGCAAGCUUGAGUCUCGUAGAGGGGGGUAGAAUUCCAGGUGUAGCGGUGAAAUGCGUAGAGAUCUGGAGGAAUACCGGUGGCGAAGGCGGCCCCCUGGACGAAGACUGACGCUCAGGUGCGAAAGCGUGGGGAGCAAACA